Molecule: long non-coding RNA, 348 nt
Filed under: Ananas comosus (pineapple)
Lineage: Eukaryota; Viridiplantae; Streptophyta; Magnoliopsida; Poales; Bromeliaceae
Description: long non-coding RNA (ACOM_LNC003227)
Source: RNAcentral
GAUGGACCUAGUGGGUAAGUCGGCGAGGUCGGAUGCCGAGCCCACUUGGAACUUCGUUGUAGUUCUUACACCACUAACCCUACAGGUCCUAGCACGAGCGGGGCGGCGGAGGACCGAGGCAAGGGUUUGGCGCCGUAGGUAGCGGCCACCAGGACUUUAUGCAUUUUGUAGUCAUUCCCUUUUGUUAUACAUGUAUCAACUUUAUUUUGUUGAUUUAGAAAUGAAAAGUGUAAACAAUCAUGUAUUUGGUGGAUGACUAAAUGUAAAAGAUAUAUUGGGUUGAAUGGAAUGUAAUAGCUUUGUUUACUUGAAUUUGAUUUAAAUGAGAUCAAAUAUCAUGUGUGAUUU